RNAcentral lists this small RNA (598 nucleotides) under uncultured fungus. RNAcentral's name for it is "eukaryotic LSU rRNA". The stretch from base 179 to 332 matches the Rfam family "5.8S ribosomal RNA". The record is from RNAcentral. Lineage: Eukaryota; Fungi.
UUUGACUAACACCACUGUGAUCUGUUUUAAGCAAGUGGGGUACUUGGACUAGGGUGACCUAGACUAGGUUUUAAAUGUGCUCUCUUGUACGGCCCCAUUGUGCAACCAAUUGUGUAUUUUUACGCACUUGUUUUAUCAUGUAUUGAAUCUAUCUAGACUCAAUGAAUCUAAACGUGACAACUUCUAACGGUGGAUCUCUUGGCUCGUGCAUCGAUGAAGAACGUAGCCAGUUGCGAUAAAUAGUGUGAAUUGCAGAAUUCAGUGAAUCAUCGAAUCUUUGAACGCAAAUUGCGCUUUCUGGAUAUCCAGGGAGCAUGCCUGUCUGAGCGUCGUUUAAUAGUCCACACACCUUGGUGUGGGUAGGGAGUUCAUGUAACUAGCUUGCGCUGGAUACCUGUCUCUCGAUGUGUCUGAACCUUGCUCGUACUUGCUUAUGUACUUGCUUGGAAGGCUCAACUUGCUUCUGCCCUUCUAAAGCUCCGUACUUGCUGUGUGCUGCUCGCGUUCUUUGAGGCUUUUCACAAAGUUUCAGCAUUUCUUUUUGACCUCAGAUCAGACAAGACUACCGCUGAAUUUAAGCAUAUCAAUAAGCGGAGGA